This 253-nucleotide ribosomal RNA is filed under the name uncultured bacterium. Its description in RNAcentral is "partial 16S ribosomal RNA". It matches the Rfam family "Bacterial small subunit ribosomal RNA", at positions 524 to 776 of the family's 1533-position model. The record is from RNAcentral.
UACGGAGGGUGCGAGCGUUGUCCGGAAUCACUGGGCGUAAAGGGCGCGUAGGCGGCGCGAGUAGUCAACGGUGAAAGCCCGGGGCUCAACCCCGGGUCGGCCGUCGAUACUCUCGUGCUUGAGCACUGUAGAGGCAGGUGGAAUUCCGGGUGUAGCGGUGGAAUGCGUAGAGAUCCGGAAGAACACCGGUGGCGAAGGCAGCUCGCUGGGACGUGACUGACGCUGAGGCGCGAAAGCGUGGGGAGCAAACAGG